This 107-nucleotide small nuclear RNA is filed under the name Rhinopithecus bieti (black snub-nosed monkey). Lineage: Eukaryota; Metazoa; Chordata; Mammalia; Primates; Cercopithecidae. The record is from RNAcentral.
GCGCUCGCUUUGGCAGCACAUAUACUAAAAUUGGAACGAUACAGAGAAGAUUAGCAAGGCCCCUGUGCAAAGAUGACAUGCAAAUUUGUUAAGCGUUCCAUAUUUUU